This 2896-nucleotide ribosomal RNA is filed under the name Pseudomonas kilonensis. Its description in RNAcentral is "bacterial LSU rRNA". It matches the Rfam family "Bacterial large subunit ribosomal RNA". Lineage: Bacteria; Pseudomonadati; Pseudomonadota; Gammaproteobacteria; Pseudomonadales; Pseudomonadaceae. The record is from RNAcentral.
UAUGGUCAAGUGAAGAAGCGCAUACGGUGGAUGCCUUGGCAGUCAGAGGCGAUGAAAGACGUGGUAGCCUGCGAAAAGCUUCGGGGAGUCGGCAAACAGACUUUGAUCCGGAGAUCUCUGAAUGGGGGAACCCAGCCAUCAUAAGAUGGUUAUCUUGUACUGAAUACAUAGGUGCAAGAGGCGAACCAGGGGAACUGAAACAUCUAAGUACCCUGAGGAAAAGAAAUCAACCGAGAUUCCCUUAGUAGUGGCGAGCGAACGGGGACUAGCCCUUAAGUGGCUUUGAGAUUAGCGGAACGCUCUGGAAAGUGCGGCCAUAGUGGGUGAUAGCCCUGUACGCGAAAAUCUCUUAGUCAUGAAAUCGAGUAGGACGGAGCACGAGAAACUUUGUCUGAAUAUGGGGGGACCAUCCUCCAAGGCUAAAUACUACUGACUGACCGAUAGUGAACUAGUACCGUGAGGGAAAGGCGAAAAGAACCCCGGAGAGGGGAGUGAAAUAGAUCCUGAAACCGUAUGCGUACAAGCAGUGGGAGCCCACUUUGUUGGGUGACUGCGUACCUUUUGUAUAAUGGGUCAGCGACUUAUUUUCAGUGGCGAGCUUAACCGAAUAGGGGAGGCGUAGCGAAAGCGAGUCUUAAUAGGGCGUCUAGUCGCUGGGAAUAGACCCGAAACCGGGCGAUCUAUCCAUGGGCAGGUUGAAGGUUGGGUAACACUAACUGGAGGACCGAACCGACUACCGUUGAAAAGUUAGCGGAUGACCUGUGGAUCGGAGUGAAAGGCUAAUCAAGCUCGGAGAUAGCUGGUUCUCCUCGAAAGCUAUUUAGGUAGCGCCUCAUGUAUCACUGUAGGGGGUAGAGCACUGUUUCGGCUAGGGGGUCAUCCCGACUUACCAAACCGAUGCAAACUCCGAAUACCUACAAGUGCCGAGCAUGGGAGACACACGGCGGGUGCUAACGUCCGUCGUGAAAAGGGAAACAACCCAGACCGUCAGCUAAGGUCCCAAAGUUAUGGUUAAGUGGGAAACGAUGUGGGAAGGCUUAGACAGCUAGGAGGUUGGCUUAGAAGCAGCCACCCUUUAAAGAAAGCGUAAUAGCUCACUAGUCGAGUCGGCCUGCGCGGAAGAUGUAACGGGGCUCAAACCAUACACCGAAGCUACGGGUAUCACGUAAGUGAUGCGGUAGAGGAGCGUUCUGUAAGCCUGUGAAGGUGAGUUGAGAAGCUUGCUGGAGGUAUCAGAAGUGCGAAUGCUGACAUGAGUAACGACAAUGGGUGUGAAAAACACCCACGCCGAAAGACCAAGGUUUCCUGCGCAACGUUAAUCGACGCAGGGUUAGUCGGUCCCUAAGGCGAGGCUGAAAAGCGUAGUCGAUGGAAAACAGGUUAAUAUUCCUGUACUUCUGGUUAUUGCGAUGGAGGGACGGAGAAGGCUAGGCCAGCUUGGCGUUGGUUGUCCAAGUUUAAGGUGGUAGGCUGGAAUCUUAGGUAAAUCCGGGAUUCCAAGGCCGAGAGCUGAUGACGAGUUACCCUUUGGGUGACGAAGUGGUUGAUGCCAUGCUUCCAAGAAAAGCUUCUAAGCUUCAGGUAACCAGGAACCGUACCCCAAACCGACACAGGUGGUUGGGUAGAGAAUACCAAGGCGCUUGAGAGAACUCGGGUGAAGGAACUAGGCAAAAUGGCACCGUAACUUCGGGAGAAGGUGCGCCGGUGAGGGUGAAGCACUUGCUGCGUAAGCCCACGCCGGUCGAAGAUACCAGGCCGCUGCGACUGUUUAUUAAAAACACAGCACUCUGCAAACACGAAAGUGGACGUAUAGGGUGUGACGCCUGCCCGGUGCCGGAAGGUUAAUUGAUGGGGUUAGCUAACGCGAAGCUCUUGAUCGAAGCCCCGGUAAACGGCGGCCGUAACUAUAACGGUCCUAAGGUAGCGAAAUUCCUUGUCGGGUAAGUUCCGACCUGCACGAAUGGCGUAACGAUGGCGGCGCUGUCUCCACCCGAGACUCAGUGAAAUUGAAAUCGCUGUGAAGAUGCAGUGUAUCCGCGGCUAGACGGAAAGACCCCGUGAACCUUUACUAUAGCUUUGCACUGGACUUUGAAUUUGCUUGUGUAGGAUAGGUGGGAGGCUUUGAAGCGUGGACGCCAGUUCGCGUGGAGCCAUCCUUGAAAUACCACCCUGGCAACUUUGAGGUUCUAACUCAGGUCCGUUAUCCGGAUCGAGGACAGUGUAUGGUGGGUAGUUUGACUGGGGCGGUCUCCUCCUAAAGAGUAACGGAGGAGUACGAAGGUGCGCUCAGACCGGUCGGAAAUCGGUCGUAGAGUAUAAAGGCAAAAGCGCGCUUGACUGCGAGACAGACACGUCGAGCAGGUACGAAAGUAGGUCUUAGUGAUCCGGUGGUUCUGUAUGGAAGGGCCAUCGCUCAACGGAUAAAAGGUACUCCGGGGAUAACAGGCUGAUACCGCCCAAGAGUUCAUAUCGACGGCGGUGUUUGGCACCUCGAUGUCGGCUCAUCACAUCCUGGGGCUGAAGCCGGUCCCAAGGGUAUGGCUGUUCGCCAUUUAAAGUGGUACGCGAGCUGGGUUUAGAACGUCGUGAGACAGUUCGGUCCCUAUCUGCCGUGGACGUUUGAGAUUUGAGAGGGGCUGCUCCUAGUACGAGAGGACCGGAGUGGACGAACCUCUGGUGUUCCGGUUGUCACGCCAGUGGCAUUGCCGGGUAGCUAUGUUCGGGAAAGAUAACCGCUGAAAGCAUCUAAGCGGGAAACUUGCCUCAAGAUGAGAUCUCACUGGGACCUUGAGUCCCCUGAAGGGCCGUCGAAGACUACGACGUUGAUAGGCAGGGUGUGUAAGCGCUGUGAGGCGUUGAGCUAACCUGUACUAAUUGCCCGUGAGGCUUGACCAUA